UACAGAGGUGGCAAGCGUUGUUCGGAAUUACUGGGCGUAAAGGGCGCGUAGGCGGCCCGAUAAGUCCCGCGUGAAAGCCCCCGGCUCAACUGGGGAACGGCGCGGGAAACUAUCGGGCUUGAGUUCGGGAGAGGGAAGCGGAAUUCCGGGUGUAGCGGUGAAAUGCGUAGAUAUCCGGAGGAACACCAGUGGCGAAGGCGGCUUCCUGGACCGACACUGACGCUGAGGCGCGAAAGCUAGGGGAGCAAACGGG
This 253-nucleotide ribosomal RNA is filed under the name uncultured bacterium. RNAcentral's name for it is "partial 16S ribosomal RNA". It matches the Rfam family "Bacterial small subunit ribosomal RNA", at positions 524 to 776 of the family's 1533-position model. The record is from RNAcentral.